AAUCAUCCGGAUGACUGUAGUUGUUCUUGUGAUUGGGAUUCUUUCUGCAAAUCAGUUUAUCAAAAAUAUCUUUAAAAGGACUCUAUCAGGAUUCGAUGCACUCGCUAGAUUUGGAGAUGUGGCGACAGGCGAUCGAGGAUUAUUUGAUGAAGCUGCUUCGAUCUGAUCACUGAAUUUCAUGCUCAAUGGGAGAUUCGAUUAUGUCCUGUGAAUCUAUUGACAUCUGGGAACACGAUGCAGGCAUAUUACUUCCCUCCGGAGAACUGAAAAUCAAACAUGCAAGAAGAAAGAGAUGAUGAAUAAAGCAUUUGUCAGGUAACAGAGAACAGACGUCGCCUGGCUUUAUCGGUACACUGCUUCCUAAUUCAAGAG
Long non-coding RNA from Pogonomyrmex barbatus (red harvester ant), 372 nucleotides. RefSeq lists it as uncharacterized. The record is from RefSeq and is a predicted model, not a curated record. NCBI's taxonomy places the organism in Eukaryota, Metazoa, Arthropoda, Insecta, Hymenoptera, Formicidae.